AUUGAACGCUGGCGGCAGGCUUAACACAUGAAAGUCGAGCGGGGGAAGGUAGCUUGCUACCGGACCUAGCGGCGGACGGGUGAGUAAUGCUUAGGAAUCUGCCUAUUAGUGGGGGACAACAUCUCGAAAGGGAUGCUAAUACCGCAUACGUCCUACGGGAGAAAGCAGGGGAUCUUCGGACCUUGCGCUAAUAGAUGAGCCUAAGUCGGAUUAGCUAGUUGGUGGGGUAAAGGCCUACCAAGGCGACGAUCUGGAGCGGGUCUGAGAGGAUGGUCCGCCACACUGGGACUGAGACACGGCCCAGACUCCUACGGGAGGCAGCAGUGGGGAAUAUUGGACAAUGGGGGGAACCCUGAUCCAGCCAUGCCGCGUGUGUGAAGAAGGCCUUAUGGUUGUAAAGCACUUUAAGCGAGGAGGAGGCUACUUUAGUUAAUACCUAGAGAUAGUGGACGUUACUCGCAGAAUAAGCACCGGCUAACUCUGUGCCAGCCGCCGCCGUAA
RNAcentral lists this ribosomal RNA (501 nucleotides) under uncultured bacterium. RNAcentral describes it as "partial 16S ribosomal RNA". It matches the Rfam family "Bacterial small subunit ribosomal RNA", at positions 30 to 523 of the family's 1533-position model. The record is from RNAcentral.